Molecule: ribosomal RNA, 516 nt
Filed under: fungal sp. ARIZ L208
Lineage: Eukaryota; Fungi
Description: eukaryotic LSU rRNA
Rfam family: 5.8S ribosomal RNA (bases 203-356)
Source: RNAcentral
UCCGUUGGUGAACCAGCGGAGGGAUCAUUACUGAGUUUACGCUCUAUAACCCUUUGUGAACAUACCUAUAACUGUUGCUUCGGCGGGUAGGGUCUCCGCGACCCUCCCGGCCUCCCGCCUCCGGGCGGGUCGGCGCCCGCCGGAGGAUAACCAAACUCUGAUUUAACGACGUUUCUUCUGAGUGGUACAAGCAAAUAAUCAAAACUUUUAACAACGGAUCUCUUGGUUCUGGCAUCGAUGAAGAACGCAGCGAAAUGCGAUAAGUAAUGUGAAUUGCAGAAUUCAGUGAAUCAUCGAAUCUUUGAACGCACAUUGCGCCCGCCAGCAUUCUGGCGGGCAUGCCUGUUCGAGCGUCAUUUCAACCCUCAAGCUCUGCUUGGUGUUGGGGCCCUACAGCUGAUGUAGGCCCUCAAAGGUAGUGGCGGACCCUCCCGGAGCCUCCUUUGCGUAGUAACUUUACGUCUCGCACUGGGAUCCGGAGGGACUCUUGCCGUAAAACCCCCCAAUUUCCAAAGG